This 429-nucleotide ribosomal RNA is filed under the name Chloroflexota bacterium. RNAcentral's name for it is "Chloroflexi bacterium partial 16S ribosomal RNA". It matches the Rfam family "Bacterial small subunit ribosomal RNA", at positions 355 to 776 of the family's 1533-position model. The record is from RNAcentral. Lineage: Bacteria; Bacillati; Chloroflexota.
UGGGGAAUAUUGCACAAUGGGCGCAAGCCUGAUGCAGCCAUGCCGCGUGUAUGAAGAAGGCCUUCGGGUUGUAAAGCACUUUCAGCGGGGAGGAAGGCGGUGAGGUUAAUAACCUCAUCGAUUGACGUUACCCGCAGAAGAAGCACCGGCUAACUCCGUGCCAGCAGCCGCGGUAAUACGGAGGGUGCAAGCGUUAAUCGGAAUUACUGGGCGUAAAGCGCACGCAGGCGGUCUGUCAAGUCGGAUGUGAAAUCCCCGGGCUUAACCCGGGAAUUGCAUCUGAUACUGGUCAGCUAGAGUCUUGUAGAGGGGGGUAGAAUUCCAUGUGUAGCGGUGAAAUGCGUAGAGAUGUGGAGGAAUACCGGUGGCGAAGGCGGCCCCCUGGACAAAGACUGACGCUCAGGUGCGAAAGCGUGGGGAGCAAACAGG